RNAcentral lists this ribosomal RNA (253 nucleotides) under uncultured bacterium. RNAcentral describes it as "partial 16S ribosomal RNA". It matches the Rfam family "Bacterial small subunit ribosomal RNA", at positions 524 to 776 of the family's 1533-position model. The record is from RNAcentral.
UACGUAGGGUGCGAGCGUUGUCCGGAUUUAUUGGGCGUAAAGAGCUCGUAGGCGGUUUGUCGCGUCGGCCGUGAAAUCUCCACGCUUAACGUGGAGCGUGCGGUCGAUACGGGCAGACUUGAGUUCGGUAGGGGAGACUGGAAUUCCUGGUGUAGCGGUGAAAUGCGCAGAUAUCAGGAGGAACACCGGUGGCGAAGGCGGUUCUCUGGGCAUGUCCUGACGCUGAGGAGCGAAAGUGUGGGGAGCGAACAGG